AUGAACGCUAGCUACAGGCUUAACACAUGCAAGUCGAGGGGCAGCAUGAAGUUGCUUGCAAACUUGAUGGCGACCGGCGCACGGGUGAGUAACGCGUAUCCAACCUGGCCCGCAGUAGGGAACAGCCCGGCGAAAGUCGGAUUAAUGCCCUAUGUCUUCCUUUGCAGGCAUCCAAUGAGGAAGAAAGAUUUAUCGCGUGCGGGAUGGGGAUGCGUCUGAUUAGCUUGUCGGCGGGGUAACGGCCCACCGAGGCGACGAUCAGUAGGGGUUCUGAGAGGAAGGUCCCCCACACUGGUACUGAGACACGGACCAGACUCCUACGGGAGGCAGCAGUGAGGAAUAUUGGUCAAUGGGCGAGAGCCUGAACCAGCCAAGUAGCGUGCAGGGAACCGACUGCCCUAUGGGUUGUAAACUGCUUUUAUGCGGGGAUAAACUUCAGCGCGUGUGCUGUUUUGCAGGUACCGCAUGAAUAAGGACCGGCUAAUUCCGUGCCAGCCGCUGC
Molecule: ribosomal RNA, 502 nt
Filed under: uncultured bacterium
Lineage: Bacteria
Description: bacterial SSU rRNA
Rfam family: Bacterial small subunit ribosomal RNA
Source: RNAcentral